GGUCGGGGGUGGACAGACAGAGACAGAGAGAUAGAGAGGGACCAAACGAUACAGCUCUGGUCAUCAAAGACAGACAUUACCAUUUUGUCUAACACCCGACUCUCCUCAGCUGACAAGCUGAUGCCAACACAGACUUUUUGGGGUCAAGGUCAUUACUGAAUAAUAAAGGAUGUGGAAGCACUCGCUACUAAAGCUACAUUGUGUUUUUUAAACAAACGUAUUGUUAUAUUGAUAGCGUCAGUGAUGUAUUAUUAGCUGGCUUUCUGAAUGCUCACUGUCUGUGGAGUGUUUGCAUAUGUUAUCGAAUGGGACAUAAUAAACUCUAGAAGAUAGUACCACUGUUAUCUUCAUUUACUACCGAAGGGAACCGAAGCUAAGCAGGAUUAGUGAGCUUGUCCAAAGUCUGCCAGAAGCGAAACCCAAAUUCGCUAAAGGUCAAAGUUCAUGCUCUCAGCUGCUCUGCGUCUGCCUUUUCCUUUCCGUUCCUUCAGGUAUGUCUCUCCAUGUCUGGAGGGACGCCAUGGCCUUUCCGAUAUGUCAGGGCAGGUGCUGACGUGGUGUCACGUUAGCUCCUCGUGUUCACCCUGGCUCUCUUUCCUCUCACUGCCUCAGCAUGAGAUGAGAGCCUUGGCUGAAGACGUAGCCAUGGCAUCAGGAGGAAUUCAGGCUCAAGAGGAGACAGAACCAGUGUUGGAACAGUGAGGAAGACGUCAAGGGAACCUUGAGCUCUUGUUUGCCCAAAUGCAGUCAAACAAAGCUGCUGUAAUGCAUAUUGCUUUUAUUCAUCAUGUUAAACAUUUAUAGACUUAUUAAACAGAAGAAUCAUAAGUGUGAGUUUAGCCUUGUGCCACUUUCCUGGCUUGGGUUAUCAAUUUAACUUAACAUGAUCAACACAGUCUUACGUCUCAAGUAUUAUGGCCUUUUAUACUGAUGACUAUUAAAUUUUAUAUAUACUUCUUUAUUACUUUGGAUAAGUCAGUGCAUUUUCAGUAGAGUAGCUUUGAAUGGAUCUUUUCAGAGUUUUGAGAUAGUCUGCCCCUCCUCUGGUUAUUGCUUUUUAUAGACCUGUUAUCAAACAGAUUUGAAGAUAUUCUAAUAUUUAUUCUUACGUGUGUAAGGGUCCACAUGAAAGGAUUCGGACCAGCAGUUACCAACUGGAGGAAAAUUGGCAAUGCUACUGUGAUGACAGGCACAGACAGAGUGCUGUGACCAACUUGUUCCUAUCCUUAAUAACCUUCAUUGUUACAACAAAGCAUCCCUUUCUUUAAUUCUAAAUUAUGGGGCACCAUUUUAUUCCCAAAUAAAAUGAGUAUAUAUGAAGACUUUUCUUCCCUUUCUUAUUUCAAAGAUCUAGUUUUCCAUAAUCUAGUGGUUGAGAGAAUCAGACAGGCAAGAGUUGGAAUCUUGGUUAAGAGGCAAAAAAGGACAGAGAAGCUAUGGAUUCACUCCACACCCCAAACCCUCAUCUGUCUAAGCCUUUGAAGCAGAUAGACUCUUUAUUGCCAUGAAUCUAACAUGUAAGCAUCUAGCACCUUGAUUUCAUUUGAUAAAGAAAGGAAGAAGGGAAAGAGGAACACACAAAGAAGCUGGCCCUGUUGGCUCUGUACACCAUUUCUGUUAUUCACGAGUAAGGAAUACUAGAGGAGCCGCUACAGAGGAAGGGAACAUGCUUGUCUUCUGGGUGCCAGCAUCAGAAGAGGUAGUUCCUAUCACAGAAACUUGGGUCCUGAGAUGAUGAGAGGUCAGCCCCUCACAGAGUUGUUUUAUCCAUGCAACAUUUCUUCUUGGAUAUGGGGUACCAUGUAAAAAAUCAUGUGGUGAGUGAGCGUGCUGGGGAAGUGUAGACAGAUAGAUCCCUGGGGGUGGGGUGGGUCCUGUGAUGAGCCAGCCUAACUGAAUGGGACAGCCCUUGGCCAAUGAGAGACCUUGCCUCAAAAAAACAAAAACAAGAAAUAACAAAAAAGGAAAAACCAAACUGGGUGAUUCCUGAGGAACAACUCCUGAGGUUGUCCUCAGGCUGCUACAUAUUUGUGCAUACAUGUACACACGUACACACAUACACACGUACACACAUACAUACACACACACACACACACACACACACACACACACACACACACACACGAACCUACAGACACAGAAAAAGAAAAAACAAGGGACCACUAUUUGGAUGAAGGUUUGAAACUAAAUUUUUAGUAAUAUAAAUUCUGCAAAUGAGUCACUUGCCGUGUUAGAGGGAGUAUGUGGGCAUGGAAACAUUGGUAGGAGGAAGCAAUUUUGGCUUUAACAUGAAGUUCAAAGUUGGAGAGGAUAAAUUCAUGAGAUAGAAAGCUGUAAGCCUAAUGGAAGUGUCUGCAAGUUCAGGGUUCAGGCCUUAACAACAUGAUUAGCUCUGACAGUGAGGAGCGAGGAGUCAGUUAGGGUAAACUGCAUCUGUAUGAGACCUCGUGCAUCAGGACCUUCCGGUUACAAAGGCUUGCCGCCAGUUCUGUUGUUUCCAGAGACACCGGAGGAAUUGAUGUCUGCAGCAAAACAUGGUACUGCUUUCAUAAUCUUGAAACGAAACUUCAAAGUUUUCGAUGUAAAACCUUGCCACCAACAUCCAGAGAUGACGAGACUCGAAAGUGAAGGUGGCGGUGAUUUGUCCUGACUUUGACUGGUGUGAACUCCUUGUGCACUUAACUGAGCAACGUGGUAGUAAUGACCCUUUAGCUUUGGGUGGCAUCUGUGAAACCUAAAAUGAAGAAGACCCGAACGAGGCCUUGACCGCUGUUGUGUGGUAGUGUCCUUGAUUCUCGACCAUGGUGGCAUCGUCACCGUUUCUGGCUCAUCUUCUCCAGUUCCCCCAUGUCCAUCAGCUGGUUUUCCUCCCUUCCUCAUAAAGCCUCCCUCGUCAAGCCAGUUCACCUCCUUAAAACUCCAAAAGCUCUCCCUCUGAGUCCAAUGAGGCUAGUCCCUGGCUUCUCUGAGCUCCUAGAGAAAACUCCCUUUAGUCUUAACAGAGUUCAUGUUGGUACUUGAAAGUAAAGGAGGCUAGAAAAAUAUGUCACCUGGGUACAACACAUGAACCAGGAAUGGAUUAUUUCCCCCCAAAAGAACAUUAUUACACAAUUAAAUCUAUGAGAUUUCUUUUUCAUCCUUCUGCAACUUUUCUGUAUGCUUAAAUUAUUUCUAGUAAGUAGUUUCAAAAUGAGCUUUAAAACCUGUUUUUCCAUUUAGAAACAUCAAACUUUGAAUACAUAAAGAAAAAUAAAUAAAAUAUUUAUAUUGUCUCAGUUUAUUUUCUUGUUGCUGUGAUAAAAAAUCCUGACAAAAGCAACUUAAGGGAGAAGGCUUUAUUUUAGCAAUGGUUCAAUAUGGGAAGUUCAAGGUGGUAGGAGGAGGUUGUAACAGACUCACAGUCUAUCAGACCAUGGUGAGGAAGGCCAAGCCGAGGGGGCUGGAAGCAGCUAGUUACAUUAUUACAUCCACAGUCAAGCACAGAGAACAGCAAAUCAUGCAUGCUAGAGUGGAACUCACUUUUUCCACUGCUACACAGUCCAGGAUCCCCUACCCAGGGAAUGUUGCUGCCCGCAGUGGGCAGCUCUUCCUGACACAAUUACUAUAAUCAAGAUAAGCCACCAAACACAGACACUCCCACAGUCCAGCCUAACGUAGACGAUUCUCACUGAGACUCUCUUUCCAGGUGAUUCUGGCUUUAUGUCAAUGUGACAAGCUAACUAUAACACAUGUUCAUGCCAUUUAAAAUUAAAAUGGACAUCUCUGAGUUUAUUGCUCCAUUUGAGAAACAAAAAUAUUUAUCAAUAAUAUUAAUGUUUCCAAUUAAAGUUCCUCUCUACCUCAAUCCGAAGGGAACUAUUAUUCUGAAUAUACUUCAUGAACCUCUUGUUAUUAUUUAAAGACCUACUGUAUCUGUAUGAAUUCUUAAUUAUAUUCCGUGAGAGCUGAAAUUUAACUCCCCUUCUGUUUAUUGGUUACAUUUAUUUCUUCUCUAGAUCAUCUGUUUUAUCUUUUGUCCGUUUUUUCUAACUAGGUUUUUUUUUUGUCUCAUAUAGAUUUUUUUUUAUAUGCUGAGGAUACUUUAACUAUUAUGGGUAUUAUCAUAAAAAAGGUUUUCAGUAUUUUUUUUCUUGUCUUGGUAGUUUUGUUAACAUCUAUGUUAAGGAACUUGAAUCAUCAUCAAUUUAUUCUUUAUAAUGUAAGGAAGGGCUCUAAACUGAUGUGUUUGUUUGUUUUUGCCUAUUUGUGGACAAACCAAUGCUGUGGGAUGUUCUGUAAGCCAAAUGUGUUGCUCUGAUUGGUUAAUAAAUAAAACACUGAUUGGCCAGUAGCCAGGCAGGAGGAAGUAUAGGCGGGACACUGAGGAGAAGAAUUCGGGGAAGUGGAAGGCUGAGUCAGAGAGACACUGCCAGCUGCUGCCAUGACAAGCAACAUGUGAAGAUGCGGGUAAGCCACGAGUCACAUGGCAAGGUAUAGAUUUAUAGAAAUGGGUUAAUUUAAGAUAUAAGAACAGUUAACAAGAAGCCUGAGCCAUUAGGUCAAACAGUUUAAAUAAUAUAAGCGUCUGUGUGUUUAUUUUAUAAGUGGGCUGUUGGACUGCCGGGACUUGGUGGGACCCAGAGAGAAAACUCUAGCUACAAACUAACAGUGCUACUAAGCUGUCAAUGCCUCAGACCCCAGGCCUAUGGACUUGUUUUCUUACUUGAUAUGAGGGAUUUUUCCAGAUGUGGUUAAAGUUGUAUUUAAGGAUGAGGAGAUUGUUCAGAAUUACCUGAGGAGGGGCAACCUAAUUAUGAGUCCACAGAAGUAGAGCUCCUAUGCUGGCCUUGGUCACAGAAAUGUGACAACAGAAAGAUUGGCCCAGUGCAAUGCUGUCAGAGCUGGAGCGGGAGGAGGGGCCAAGGCCCAAGGGAUGACGGGAGCUUUUAGAAACUAGAAAAGUCAUGGAAAUGGAUGCUUACCUGGAAGAUCCAGUGAGGAAUGAACCACUAACUCCUUGAUUAGAUUUCUGACCUAUAGAACCACAAAUAUACUCAAAUAGCCCAAACUGCAAGGUUGUUGAUAUUUGUUAGGUAGAAAACAAACAUACAUGUCUAAAUGACACCUUGUCUUAAACAUUCCAUACAUUUUCUACUAAGUUAAAAUAUGACCUUUCCAUGUGUAGAAUUUGUGCACUCACGCUGGUUUUUAAAUUCUCUAUGCUGAUCCUGAGGAGAACGGGUUUAUUUUCCUGAUUCAUAACUGUACUUCGAUGGCUACAAGUGUUUAGAGUCUCCAAUCCUCCACUCGUUCUCCACACCUGCCCUUUAGAACCUCACCGUUUCCCACAUCUGUCCUAACUUCUUCAUUGUGGUCUCUGGUCUCGUCCUCCUCUGGAUCACUUUGCUUUCUGUUUCUGGAACUACUGAAAAUGCAAGCAUCAUUUCUACUCUUUAAAUUCAUCACAGCCACCCAUCUUUCAUCUCGAAAUUCACAAGAAAGUGCUGUGAUGAGUGAGUGACCUUGCCUGUUUGCUGGUGUCAUUUCCUGUUUCCCCCAACAGGCACCGUCUCUUCCAGACAUCAAACAACCUGAAACCCAUAAAGUAUACCAUGUUUACAAUCCUUUCUAUCUCUGGGUGUGUCUCUGCUUCUGCCUAGAAUACUGUCCAUUCUUUCCCAAAGUCCAUUAAAACUGUAUAUUCAGAACUUAGAUUAAUAUAUCAACUUCCAUCUGCAAGCUUCCCUCGCUUCCCAUUAGGCUGGGCUGGUGUCCUUCCUUCAUGUACCUACAACAGAAAUAUAUAUAUAUUUGGUUUUUUUGGAGCCUGUCCUGGAACUUGCUCUGUAGACCAGGAUGGCCUCGAACUCACUGAGAUCCACCUACCUCUGCCUCCUGAGUGCUGGAAUUAAAGGCGUGCGCCACCACCGCCCAGCAUGAUAUUAUUCUUUUAGCUUGCACUUGAAUGUUUUUGUUCCAAUAAUUGGUUUCCUUGUCUAGCUCCCUCAACAGGUAAUAGCCUGCUUAAAGGCAGGAACUGUAUUUUAUUUCUAGAUCCAUGGUGCCUAACACAACAGUAACAACUUUGGGAUAGUAAGAAUAUGAGAAAUAAUUGACUGGUGGUUCUUAUUAAAACCUGAGCCAAGCACUUUCCACAGUCUCAAAACUGCUAGGUGUCAGUUCCUAAGUUUGUGUUCUGCAAAAGUGCUUUCAGCCACAGUCCCAGAACUUUAUAACAACAUGGACCAAGUAGCAGACAUGGCUGGGUCAAUCCAACCUAAUUCGCUCAUGCUCUUUCCUAGAAAAAGUUCGCAAAGUCCUUGACUGGAGAGGUCCAUUCACUCUGCAGUAAUCCUUUGACUGCCUCGUUCUGUCAGAUGCUCAAGGAAGCUAGCGUGUGAGUGAGGGAGUUACCAAUAAACGAUCAAUAAAAAAAAAAAAAGUGCUUUCAGCUAAAAAUAAUACCGUCCGCCUUGUUUACUCAUUUUAUUCGAGGCUUGACUACAAGUGACUCUGGGAUUGUCCCAAAGGAAGAAUGUUCCCUCUGUUGAACAGAUUCAAAGGCGCAUGACUCAGGUUUUAAAAGUAAACUCGGGAGAGAAAGUUCUCAGAUGUUUUCAGCAGGAAUGACAUUGCUGGAAUAUUUUUAUUUGAAAAUCCCACUCAAUACCUGCAGGAGCCAUCAGAUUCAGGGAGGGACCCCUCUGCGCUCUCCCAGGGCUGGAAACAAAUACCCUGCCUGGCACAUCAUGUCACGUGUAAAGGGUGUGGAAGACAGUUUAGUCUCUCCAAUUACCCAUGAUUUUAAACAAGGGGAGGGUUUGGUCCCCUUUCCUGGAAAGGGUGUUUCAGGAGAUUUCAGGUUAUCAUACUGAUGUAGGAGAAUCCCUGUUAGUGCUUAGGAACCAGAGAUGCUGCAAGUGUCCUAGUGUGUGUAGAAGAGUCCUGUACAGCACAAAACUAUCCUGACCAAAAUGCCUGCAGUGACCUCAUUAGAAAUCAGACUCUAUCUUUGAUUUCCCAUGGGCCAAGAGAAGCCCAGCACUAAAAGAAAAGUCACUUUGAAGAAACCGCAAAGAAAUGGGAGCAGGAAUACCUUGUCAGUGUUAAGCUAUGGGGCUUAAAGAAUCAAUUACUUUGUAAUCACCUUUCAUCGCAAUUUCCAUACCACUCUAUUAAACCAUUGAUAAAAUAUGAAUAAUGAAAGGAAGGCGUUAUUAAAUCGAGGUAUUUCUGUGUUGGGUUGGUCCGGGAAAGGUUAAUUCUAACUGAAAUAGCAAACAAGCUCAUCACCAGCAUCCUCCUCUCUCAGUCCACACAUUGCUGGGCGUCCCCUUCGGACUCUCACACCCCAGCCCUCAACCGCCUCCAUCUGCACCAUCUGCGGGACAGACGUCCUUGCUUCGCCAUCUCAGGCGCCACUCCUUCAGAGUCUGGGGUCUCAAUUGUUAGAGCUGGUAAACCAGGUGGCUUCUAGCGAAUCCCCUCCACCUCUCUACCUGCGAGCUGGGUAACGUUCACACCCAUGCCUGUGCACCUCAAGAGCCCUGUGAGUCUGCUCAGAGCCCUCUCUGAGUUCCUCUGGGGUUGCUUUCCCGUUCUUGGAACUUGAAAAGUGCUACCGUCCUCUCAAAGUGAAAAUCAGAGCUGGCCCCAGAAGCAUCCGAGGCACAUCCCUCCUCCUGAACCACACCUGCAAUCCGCCAUCGGGCAAUCCGUUUGGUAUUCCUAAAUCAAGGAAGGCUUUAUGCUUCUCACCUAAAGAGAGAGAAGGUUUCAUAUACUACGCUGGCCUCCAACUUGCUUCAAGCCACUGAUCCAUCUGCUUCUGCCCUGGAAGUGUUGUGAUUACAGGCUUGUGUUUCUAUGCUAUUACAGUGAAAAUUGGAAUUAGUAGCCCAAUGGAUCAAUAAACAUUAACAUAUAUA
This is a long non-coding RNA of Peromyscus californicus insignis, 7907 nucleotides long. RefSeq lists it as uncharacterized. The transcript is spliced from 3 exons. Lineage: Eukaryota; Metazoa; Chordata; Mammalia; Rodentia; Cricetidae. The record is from RefSeq and is a predicted model, not a curated record.